RNAcentral lists this ribosomal RNA (1415 nucleotides) under metagenome. RNAcentral's name for it is "bacterial LSU rRNA". It matches the Rfam family "Bacterial large subunit ribosomal RNA", at positions 1497 to 2925 of the family's 2925-position model. The record is from RNAcentral.
CUUGGAAAUGCUAGUCUAAGCGUUUAGGGAGUUACGGUAGGCAAAUCCGCUGUAACAAUUCCGAGGCGUGAUGGGGAAGGCCAUAUAGGCCGAAGUACAUGAUUCCAUGCUUCCAAGAAAAGCAUCUAGAGAGAGAAGUAGUGCCCGUACCGCAAACCGACACAGGUAGAUGAGGAGAGAAUCCUAAGGCCGGCGGAAGAAUUGCAGUUAAGGAACUAGGCAAAUUGACCCCGUAAGUUCGCGAGAAGGGGUGCCUGCGAGAGCAGGCCGCAGAGAAUAGGCCCAAGCAACUGUUUAGCAAAAACACAGGUCUCUGCUAAAGCGUAAGCUGAUGUAUAGGGGCUGACGCCUGCCCGGUGCUGGAAGGUUAAGGGGAACACUUAGCGCAAGCGAAGGUGUGAACUUAAGCCCCAGUAAACGGCGGCCGUAACAAUAACGGUCCUAAGGUAGCGAAAUUCCUUGUCAGGUAAGUUCUGACCCGCACGAAUGGCGUAAUGACUUGGGCACUGUCUCAACUGCAAAUCCGGCGAAGUUGUAGUGCGAGUGAAGAUGCUCGCUACCCGCGAUUGGACGGAAAGACCCCGUAGAGCUUUACUGUAGCUUAGCAUUGAAUUCCGGUAUUGUCUGUACAGGAUAGGUGGGAGACUGGGAAACUAGGGCGUCAGCCUUAGUGGAGUCAACCUUGGGAUACCACCCUGACAGUACUGGGGUUCUAACAGGACGCCAUGAAUCUGGUGACUGGACAUUGUUAGGUGGGCAGUUUGACUGGGGCGGUCGCCUCCUAAAAAGUAACGGAGGCGCCCAAAGGUUCCCUCAGAACGGUCGGAAAUCGUUCGUAGAGUGCAAAGGCAGAAGGGAGCCUGACUGCGAGACAUACAAGUCGAGCAGGGACGAAAGUCGGGCUUAGUGAUCCGGUGGUACCUCGUGGGAGGGCCAUCGCUCAACGGAUAAAAGCUACCUCGGGGAUAACAGGCUGAUCUCCCCCAAGAGUCCACAUCGACGGGGAGGUUUGGCACCUCGAUGUCGGCUCGUCGCAUCCUGGGGCUGUAGUAGGUCCCAAGGGUUGGGCUGUUCGCCCAUUAAAGCGGCACGCGAGCUGGGUUCAGAACGUCGUGAGACAGUUCGGUCCCUAUCCGUCGCGGGCGUAGGAAAUUUGAGAGGAGCUGUCCUUAGUACGAGAGGACCGGGAUGGACUGACCUCUGGUGCACCAGUUGUUCCGCCAGGAGCAUGGCUGGGUAGCUAAGUCGGGAAGGGAUAAACGCUGAAAGCAUCUAAGCGUGAAGCCUCCCUCAAGAUGAGAUUUCCCAUAGCAUAAGCUAGUAAGACCCCUUGAAGAACACAAGGUUGAUAGGUCAGAGGUGUAAGUGCGGUAACGUAUUUAGCUGACUGAUACUAAUAGGUCGAGGGCUUGACC